GAAAAGGAAUUUGCAAAUUCUAUGCAAAAGCAGCCAAGCUAGAAAUACAGCUGAUUUGACGAAAUGUUUCAAUUUGGCUAUUUUCGUCUAAAAUAUGGAUUUCCCUGGAGAAUUCCCAACAACUGAUUUAAUACUGACUAAAUACCUUUUACGACCUGGCUAGUAGCAUGCUAGUAACAUUUUAAGAGCUAUAUAUACAACGAGUAUUACCUUGACAUAAUUAAUGCUUAGAUAGUAUAAUUCUCUUGUAAGGAGUUACACAAUAUAAUAUUUUAUUUAAAUAGUCUAAUGUUUUAAAGUGUCCAUGUUCAAGAACCUAUUCCAGGAUAUCCAACUCAAGUUUCAGUGUCCAACGUAGAUUUGGGAGAAUACAUCCAUUACCCCUGCAUAAUCAACUCUAAGAACCCAUGCCUACAAUGUCUGCUACAACUUUUUUUCCAGUGCAGAAUUAGUUUUGUAGGGAUAUGAUUGUAUCUGUAACACACGUAUGGGCAAAUAUAAAAACCAUUUGUGGGCAAUAUAUUUGAAUAAAUAUGUUUGGCUCCAUUCAAUUUGUUUAUUGUUAUUGUACCAAUGUUGUACUUUGUACUUUAUCAGUGCCUUGAAUUUAUAGAUAACGUCUAUAGUACACACAUAGUUACAUAGGCUAAAAAGAGGCAUGUGUCCAUCAAGUUCAGCCUUCUUCACAUCAGUUUUUUUGCUGUUGAUCCAAAAGAAGGAAAAAAAACACUUCCAAUUUAGCAACAAACUAGUAAAAAAAAA
This is a non-coding RNA of Pelobates cultripes (western spadefoot toad), 762 nucleotides long. The record is from the annotation of a GenBank genome assembly. NCBI's taxonomy places the organism in Eukaryota, Metazoa, Chordata, Amphibia, Anura, Pelobatidae.